CAGCAGCGCGGGAAUACGUAGGUGGCAAGCGUUAUCCGGAAUUAUUGGGCGUAAAGCGCGCGUAGGCGGUUUUUUAAGUCUGAUGUGAAAGCCCACGGCUCAACCGUGGAGGGUCAUUGGAAACUGGAAAACUUGAGUGCAGAAGAGGAAAGUGGAAUUCCAUGUGUAGCGGUGAAAUGCGCAGAGAUAUGGAGGAACACCAGUGGCGAAGGCGACUUUCUGGUCUGUAACUGACGCUGAUGUGCGAAAGCGUGGGGAUCAAACAGGAUUAGAUACCCCUGUAGUCCCUGUCUCUUAUACA
RNAcentral lists this ribosomal RNA (301 nucleotides) under uncultured bacterium. Its description in RNAcentral is "partial 16S ribosomal RNA". It matches the Rfam family "Bacterial small subunit ribosomal RNA", at positions 509 to 808 of the family's 1533-position model. The record is from RNAcentral.